GGGGGGGGGGGGGGGGGGGCGGGGGGGAGGCGGGGCGGGCGGGGGGGGCGGGGGGGGGGGGGGUGCGGGGGGGGCGGGGGGGGGAGUGGCACGGGAGGGACCGGCCCGUGACUGUGGGAGAACGUCCGGAAACGGGGGCUAAUACCGGAGCGGAGCUCCUGCGGCAGGGUGGGGGGUGGAACGUUUCGGCGGUGGGGGAUGGCCUCGCGGCGUAUCGGCUUGUUGGUGGGGUAGUGGCUUACCAAGGCUUUGACGGGUAGCCGGCCUGAGAGGGUGACCGGCCACAUUGGGACUGAGAUACGGCCCAGACUCCUACGGGAGGCAGCAGUGGGGAAUAUUGCACAAUGGGCGGAAGCCUGAUGCAGCAACGCCGCGUGCGGGAUGACGGCCUUCGGGUUGUAAACCGCUUUCGCCUGUGACGAAGCGUGAGUGACGGUAAUGGGUAAAGAAGCACCGGCUAACUACGUG
Molecule: ribosomal RNA, 468 nt
Filed under: uncultured bacterium
Lineage: Bacteria
Description: partial 16S ribosomal RNA
Rfam family: Bacterial small subunit ribosomal RNA (bases 58-468)
Source: RNAcentral